AUGAAAGAAAGAAAUAAACUCUAAGAAGUAUAUUUGGCCCUCAAACCAGUAAAACAGCAGGAAACCACUUGGCUCUACAGAAGCUGCUCCCAGCUAGACCAGUCUCCAGGCUAGACCCGAACCAGCCUAGCCAGGCUUGUUCUAGGCCUGGGCUACGUCCCCCUAUCCUGCCCGGGCCACGUAUCCACAAGACACACACCGACUCCCAGAGAGCCUGCAGGAGCUAUGGUCGGCCCAUUACAGGGAACAGCUGAAUUCACCCUCAGACGCUACAACUGCAGUCUCUCUGGCACCAAACUGUUGCCAACCUGCCUACCUUUUGCUUUGAGGUGCCAUCAAUUCCAGUAACGGGACACCAGGCAAGCCAUGUCGCCUGCCCACGUCUGAGCCAGAUCGUCUGAGAACUCCAAAGAAAGCUGGGGGCGCAGGCCACGUGGGCUGCUGGACUGUGCAGAGCUUCAAGGAGGUUGAGAGGCGAGGAGGUCCCUUGGCUACUGCUUUCAUCCCGCGCAAUGCAUAAAUUUGCUAUCGGGAACCUGUGCUUACCAGAGAC
This is a long non-coding RNA of Tupaia belangeri chinensis (Chinese tree shrew), 553 nucleotides long. RefSeq lists it as uncharacterized. The record is from RefSeq and is a predicted model, not a curated record. Lineage: Eukaryota; Metazoa; Chordata; Mammalia; Scandentia; Tupaiidae. The transcript has 3 exons.